This 495-nucleotide ribosomal RNA is filed under the name uncultured bacterium. RNAcentral describes it as "partial 16S ribosomal RNA". It matches the Rfam family "Bacterial small subunit ribosomal RNA", at positions 28 to 507 of the family's 1533-position model. The record is from RNAcentral.
GACGAACGCUGGCGGCGUGCCUAAUACAUGCAAGUAGAACGCUGAGGGAGGAGCUUGCUUCUCUGGAUGAGUUGCGAACGGGUGAGUAACGCGUAGGUAACCUGCCUGGUAGCGGGGGAUAACUAUUGGAAACGAUAGCUAAUACCGCAUAAUAGCAGUUGUUGCAUGACAACUGUUUGAAAGGUGCAAUUGCACCACUACCAGAUGGACCUGCGUUGUAUUAGCUAGUUGGUGGGGUAACGGCUCACCAAGGCGACGAUACAUAGCCGACCUGAGAGGGUGAUCGGCCACACUGGGACUGAGACACGGCCCAGACUCCUACGGGAGGCAGCAGUAGGGAAUCUUCGGCAAUGGACGGAAGUCUGACCGAGCAACGCCGCGUGAGUGAAGAAGGGUGUCGGAUCGUAAAGCUCUGUUGUAAGAGAAGAACGAGUGUGAGAGUGGAAAGUUCACACUGUGACGGUAUCUUACCAGAAAGGGACGGCUAACUACGUG